CGGCGUGCUUAACACAUGCAAGUCUACGAGAACGAGGUAGCAAUAUCUUUAGUAAAGUGGCGUACGGGUGCGUAACACGUAAGCAAUUUACCUUUGGGUCUGGAAUAACUUCGAGAAAUCGAGGCUAAUACCGGAUAAUGCAGCGGCACCGCAUGGUGAUGUUGUUAAAGUUUGCGUAAUGCCUAAAGAUGAGCUUGCGUCUGAUUAGCUAGUUGGUGAGGUAAUGGCCCACCAAGGCUACGAUCAGUAGCUGGUCUGAGAGGAUGAUCAGCCACACUGGAACUGAGACACGGUCCAGACUCCUACGGGAGGCAGCAGUGAGGAAUAUUGGGCAAUGCCCGCAAGGGUGACCCAGCAACGCCGCGUGGAGGAUGAAGGUCGUAAGAUCGUAAACUCCUGUUAGAGGGGAAGAAUAGCUAAGUUUGGAGCUUAGUAUGACUGUACCCUCAGAGAAAGCCCCGGCUAACUACGUGCCAGCAACCGCGGUAA
RNAcentral lists this ribosomal RNA (489 nucleotides) under uncultured Ignavibacteriaceae bacterium. RNAcentral's name for it is "bacterial SSU rRNA". It matches the Rfam family "Bacterial small subunit ribosomal RNA", at positions 40 to 523 of the family's 1533-position model. Lineage: Bacteria; Pseudomonadati; Ignavibacteriota; Ignavibacteria; Ignavibacteriales; Ignavibacteriaceae. The record is from RNAcentral.